CAGCCGCGUAAUUCCAGCUCCAAUAGCGUAUAUUAAAGUUGUUGCAGUUAAAAAGCUCGUAGUUGAAUUUCGAGAUCAAAUUGUUGGUCGUGCCUCGGUACGUACUGGCAUUAUUGAUUUCUCCCUUCUGAAGAACCUUGAUGUCAUUAAUUUGGUGUCUGGGGGAAUCAGGACCGUUACUUUGAAAAAAUUAGAGUGUUUAAAGCAGGCUCACGCUUGAAUACAUUAGCAUGGAAUAAUGAAAUAGGACGUUUGAUUCUAUUUUGUUGGUUUCUAGGAUCGACGUAAUGAUUAAUAGGGAUAGUUGGGGGCAUUAGUAUUCAAUUGUCAGAGGUGAAAUUCUUGGAUUUAUUGAAGACUAACUACUGCGAAAGCAUUUGCCAAGGAUGUUUUCAUUAAUCAAGAACGAAAGUUAGGGGAUCGAAGACGAUCAGAUACCGUCGUAGUCUUAACCAUAAACUAUGCCGACUAGGGAUCGGAUGAUGUUAAUUUUUUAAUGACUCAUUCGGCGCCUUACG
Molecule: unclassified non-coding RNA, 518 nt
Filed under: uncultured Glomeromycotina
Lineage: Eukaryota; Fungi; Glomeromycota
Description: SSU rRNA
Rfam family: Eukaryotic small subunit ribosomal RNA
Source: RNAcentral